GCGCAGGUAGCUCAAUAGGUAGAGCAAGACACUGAAAAUGUUUAGGUUGUUGGUUCAAAUCCAAUCUUGAGCA
RNAcentral lists this transfer RNA (73 nucleotides) under Aplysina cauliformis (row pore rope sponge). RNAcentral describes it as "tRNA-Phe". It matches the Rfam family "tRNA". From Rfam's summary of the family: Transfer RNA (tRNA) molecules are approximately 80 nucleotides in length. Lineage: Eukaryota; Metazoa; Porifera; Demospongiae; Verongiida; Aplysinidae. The record is from RNAcentral.